GAUGAAGAACGUAGCGAAACGCGAUAUGUAAUGUGAAUUGCAGAAUUCAGUGAAUCAUCGAAUCUUUGGACGCACAUGGCGCCUUCCAGUAUCCUGGGAGGCAUGCCUGUCCGAGCGUCGUUUCAACCCUCGAGCCCCCGUGGCCCGGCGUUGGGGAUCUGCCCAGGCAGUCCCCGAAAACCAGUGGCGGACCCGUUACAGGCCCUUCCCUUGCGUAGUAGCAUUCGCCUCGCAUCGGGAGCCGGCGGGCUUCCAGCCUCUAAACCCCCAUCAAGUCCGCCCCGGCGGCACCAAGGUUGACCUCGGAUCAGGUAGGAAUACCCGCUGAACUUAAGCAUAUCAAUAAGCGGAGGA
RNAcentral lists this unclassified non-coding RNA (354 nucleotides) under soil metagenome. Its description in RNAcentral is "partial contains 5.8S ribosomal RNA, internal transcribed spacer 2, and large subunit ribosomal RNA". The stretch from base 1 to 120 matches the Rfam family "5.8S ribosomal RNA", at positions 35 to 154 of the family's 154-position model. The record is from RNAcentral.